GCCCCCGUACCCCAACUGGCACGAGGGCGACGGCUUAAACCCGUUGUGUUGUGGGUUCGAAUCCCACCGGGGGCA
RNAcentral lists this transfer RNA (75 nucleotides) under Actinomycetota bacterium. Its description in RNAcentral is "tRNA-Leu". It matches the Rfam family "tRNA". Rfam says of the family: Transfer RNA (tRNA) molecules are approximately 80 nucleotides in length. Their secondary structure includes four short double-helical elements and three loops (D, anti-codon, and T loops). Lineage: Bacteria; Bacillati; Actinomycetota. The record is from RNAcentral.